Podarcis muralis (Common wall lizard) is the source of this 3085-nucleotide non-coding RNA. Lineage: Eukaryota; Metazoa; Chordata; Lepidosauria; Squamata; Lacertidae. The record is from RefSeq and is a predicted model, not a curated record.
AGGGAGCUUCCCUGACAUAAAAUUGUUAAUAAAGCUUUUCCUGCCACUGCUCUGUGAUUUAAUGGAGUGGAUUACAGUACUUUGUUUUCUAAAAGCCUGACAAUCUCCCACUAGAAUGGUUAGAUUGGAGUCCUUGAGUCUGGAAAAAUGGCUCCACUUAGCGGUUUCAUUAUCUUUCUUUAGAAGACACAAGACCUUCUCUUCAUUGGGUGUAAUGCAGAAGGGAUCCAGGACCUAACAGAAACAGUUUGGAUUCUGAGAAGGGGAAUGCAGCCAGGUUAUUAUUGGAUACUUGGACACAAUUACGGUCAUUGGAGCCCUUACUUCCAGCUGGUUGUCAAUUCAGAUGGUUGCUGUGAUAAGCAUACUCAACUGAAUAGCCAUAUACGGGGAGAGAUACAACCCAGACAUCUGUUUUUGGAGCUGCCCAGCAACUCCCCAAGCUGUAACUGGUCAAGUAGUGCUCAAGCUGAGAUCUCCCAUCUCCACAAAGGCAGGCGAGGAGAAAGUCACUGCUUGUUGCUACAGUCUGUUGUGCCUGACAAGGGGACAACAUUCCCAAUAAUUCAGAAUGUCCUCCUGAGCCUGCCCAAUAAAUUUUCGUGCUUGAUUUUCAACACAUGGGCACCUAUGUUAUCAAGACCAUUGAACAAAAGCAAAUGAAGACUCGACAAGCGUUUCUGAGGACAUUACCUCAAACAUAGCAUUGGAUCCUGAGUUGCUUCCACUGAAGGAUGACACUGACAAGGCAGUGGGUUGGUGAAGAGGCAAUUUGCAGCCCCAAGCACUACCUCUCCCAACUCUCUAAAGCUACUCCUUUUUUGUGGGGGGAGGGGACACUAAGAAUUGCAGGGGAAAUUCUCAUUUCUGCACCCCACUUCCCCUAAUGGGAGCAUCUCGCAAGCAGAGUUCUGCUCACAGGGAUUUGAGACCCACAGCAAUUAAUUACUGUAAGUCCUUUCCCAAAUAGCUGGCUUUUGCGCUGAAGAAUCGCUAAUUCAGACUUGUCUAAUAAAUGUUUCCAGUACACUAGGAUCUUCUCUGAGGGAAUCUCCUGAAACCUCAUCACAGUUAAGGAUUACAACGUGUCAGUUACGGAUGCAGCCUUUUUCAAGUGAAGCCAUUUGGUACUGCACUUUCACCUUUAAUGUGCAUGAACUUGCCAAUUAAGGACCUGCACAAGGUCAGAAAUGCUGUAGCAAUUAUUACAGAGUUUAUGCUUAGUUUAUUCUAAACAUCUAAGAUGGAGCCUGAGGAAGAUGCGAACAUUGCCUAGCACAACAUAAGGAAGAAGCUUUUGUUUCAUGGUGCAUUUUGUGUUCUUAUUUUGUGUUUUUAUGUUGUGAACUGCCUUGUGAUCUUCAGUGAAGGGUGGUAUACAAAUUUAAUAAAAUAAAGAAGGACUGGUGAUAGCCCCCUGGGAAGUUGCUUCUACUAUCCCUCUUGCUUGCUUCAAGGCUUCAGUGAGUUGUAUCACUUGUUUUCAGCAUUUUCAUAAUGUAGCUGAGGCACCUUAUGAAGAGUAUGCUAGGCUAGACAGACUACAGAAUGGAAUUCAAGGUCAAGCAAAUGUUCCAUCUGUGCAACCAUAUCAGCAUGCCAGAUGGAACAAUCCUGCCUCCCCCUCAACAUGGGUUUUCUUCUGACACCGCCCCCCCCCAGCCAAUUUUGAGGGAAAGCCCCACUGAGCUAGUGGAAGUCCUUCCACUGGUCUUCUUCCAGUGAUGGGGCUCUAUAGGUGAAGCCUGCCCUAUAAAUCUGAUUCCGUCCAAUCCAUCUUAUUGCAUAUUUACAAUGAGCAAUUAUGUAUAGUUAUUCCUGCAGACCAUAAUCCAAUAUCCGCCAAAAGUGACAACACACACUGCAAAUGAGUUUGCAACAAUAGCGCAAAUUUUGGAGUAUGCACUUUCUCUCUGUGCUAGUACUUUAAACUUGCAAGCUAAAUGUACAACCAGAUAGUUCUCUUUCAUAAUAUCAGCAUUCAAGACACCUAAGCACAUUCAGCAAACUAUGCAUGCAUAAUGUAAUCCUAUAGCUGCUUCUAUAUGGAAUAAUGUUGUUUUGUCAGGUGGGAACCAUAAUGGCCUCAUCCCUGCAACAAUCAUUGUUAAUAUAAAUUCAAAACAUAUUUCUGCACGGUUUCAAUUUGCUCCAAGAUGCCACUUUCCAUCCUGUCAAAUGACUGGAGAUCAAAAGGACCGAGAUUUAUAAGCUCAAAACUGACAAAAUCAGAGUUCUAAAUAUAUACAGCCACAGAGUGUUGCUAAAUCUCCGGAAUCUCUUAAAUUAAAAAAUAUUGCCCAUUCUGAUGAAACUGCUUACAAUGACUACAAGUAAAGAUGGUGGCCAUUAAGUUUUAUCGCAAGCACCUGAGGAACUGUUCGCAUGCAAUACAAAAUGUUCUUUUAUUCUCCUAAAUUACUGACACUGGCAAAUUAAAAUGAAGUGGCUACAUAUGGCAGAAACAAUCUUCACAUUUACAAAUAUACUGAAAUAUCACUAAAUCAUAAAAAUGAAAGCUGUGGGUUAUAUAUUAUGAAUGUUGCCUAAUGCAUUCCCAGCUCAGUUAUUUGUUACAAAUUUGUGUACAAUGGACAAAAUUGGCCAUUUAUUCUACAGCAGCAGCUGGUUCUAGCGCUGGGUAUUAUAUCCAAAAAGAAAAGAAAGAAACACACAAUUAACCUUUGAAAUGCUGAAAAAGUAAAAGCAUUAAGAACAUUUUUCCAAUGUUUUAUCAAUUUUACUUUUACCAUAAGCAUUAAAGCUCAUUCUUCCUUCCCCGAAUAAAAUUAUGGUAAACAUUUAUUUCAUUUUAUUUCUGGUGGAAAGACCAGUAAACAACAUAAAGAGAUUCUAUCUUACAGCUAUGACCUGUGAAAUAACUAAUUUUAUUUUUUUAUUAAAAAAAAGUAAUUGGGUACUAUUAAACUGCAUACAAUCUCUAAAUAUUAAUACAUACCAUGCUGUAACUGAAUACUUUUUUUAAAAUUGCAAGAAUCCAGAAGAAGAUUCAAUAUAUCAUUGCAUUUAUCUUGCAACAGCCUUGUAGGAAUUGUUAUAUUUAAAGUGAAGUAUUUGAACAUCA